Molecule: ribosomal RNA, 254 nt
Filed under: uncultured bacterium
Lineage: Bacteria
Description: partial 16S ribosomal RNA
Rfam family: Bacterial small subunit ribosomal RNA
Source: RNAcentral
UACGUAGGGGGCGAGCGUUGUCCGGAUUUAUUGGGCGUAAAGAGCUCGUAGGCGGUUUGGUAAGUUGGAUGUGAAAUCUCCAGGCUCAACUUGGAGGGGUCAUUCGAUACUGCCAUGACUAGAGUUCGGCAGGGGAGACUGGAAUUCCUGGUGUAGCGGUGAAAUGCGCAGAUAUCAGGAGGAACACCGGUGGCGAAGGCGGGUCUCUGGGCCGAUACUGACGCUGAGGAGCGAAAGCGUGGGUAGCAAACAGG